This 28-nucleotide small RNA is filed under the name Bombyx mori (domestic silkworm). RNAcentral's name for it is "ovarian small RNA-34340". Lineage: Eukaryota; Metazoa; Arthropoda; Insecta; Lepidoptera; Bombycidae. The record is from RNAcentral.
UGCUUUCAUUGCAGAUUGUCGCUUGUGU